Molecule: ribosomal RNA, 460 nt
Filed under: uncultured bacterium
Lineage: Bacteria
Description: partial 16S ribosomal RNA
Rfam family: Bacterial small subunit ribosomal RNA
Source: RNAcentral
CCUACGGGUGGCAGCAGUGAGGAAUAUUGGUCAAUGGGCGGAAGCCUGAACCAGCCAAGUAGCGUGCAGGAUGACGGCCCUACGGGUUGUAAACUGCUUUUAUACGGGAAUAACGCGCCUUACGUGUAGGGCUUUGCAUGUACCGUAUGAAUAAGGACCGGCUAAUUCCGUGCCAGCAGCCGCGGUAAUUCGGAAGGUCCGGGCGUUAUCCGGAUUGAUUGGGUUUAAAGGGAGCGUAGGCCGGAUGGCAAGUGUGCUGGUAAAUGUCCGGGCUUAACCCGGGCCUUGCAGCGCGAACUGGCGUGCUUGAGUCCGCGGAAAGCAGGCGGAAAUCGGCGUGUAGCGGUGGAAAGCUUAGAUAAGGCGAAGAACCCCGAUUGCGAAGGCAGCUUGCUGCAGCGGAACUGACGCUGAUGCUCGAAAGCGCGGGUAUCGAACAGGAUUAGAUACCCUUGUAGUC